UGGGGAAUAUUCCGCAAUGGGGGAAACCCUGACGGAGCAACGCCGCGUGAGCGAAGAAGGCCUUUGGGUUGUAAAGCUCUGUCUUCAGGGAAGAAACCUUAAGAGAGGAUAAUGCUCUUAAGCUGACGGUACCUGAGGAGGAAGCCCCGGCUAACUACGUGCCAGCAGCCGCGGUAAUACGUAGGGGGCGAGCGUUGUCCGGAAUUAUUGGGCGUAAAGCGCGCGUAGGCGGUCAUUUAAGUCAGGCGUGAAAAACCUAGGCUCAACCAAGGUAUUGCGUUUGAAACUGGAUGACUUGAGGGCAGGAGAGGAUAGCGGAAUUCCUAGUGUAGCGGUGAAAUGCGUAGAGAUUAGGAGGAACACCAGUGGCGAAGGCGGCUAUCUGGCCUGUACCUGACGCUGAGGUGCGAAAGCUGGGGGAGCGAACGGG
This 430-nucleotide ribosomal RNA is filed under the name uncultured bacterium. Its description in RNAcentral is "bacterial SSU rRNA". It matches the Rfam family "Bacterial small subunit ribosomal RNA", at positions 355 to 776 of the family's 1533-position model. The record is from RNAcentral.